AUGCUGCGUUAUGAUCUUGAGGAUCAGCUCGCUACCAUCUAUACAGAUGAAGAAGCAUACUGGAGGCUCCGCGGUACCCAACGAUGGGUGCUUCGGGGAGAAGCUAAUACGGCGUACUUCCAGGCGAUCGUGAAUGGGCAGCGAUGCCGAAACUCCAUCCAUUGCCUUUGGGGUGGAGAUUCCCAGCUUGUCCGCCCUUAGGACAUUCGUGCGCAUGUUGAUGGCUUUUACAAAGCCCUAUUCAACCCCACCCUUCGGGGUGGGGCCGCUCUGGCGCCCGAUACCUGGUCGGGCGCCCAGCUAGUGUCCAAUGCGGCUAACGCCGCCUUAGUUGUCCCAUUCUCUGAGGACAAGGUCCUCACCGCGAUUAAGGGUAUGAACCCCUCCUUGACCCCGGGACCGGAUGGACUGCCAGUGUCCUUUUUUAAAGCGUUCUGGCAGACCAUAAAACCAGAGGUCAUGGCUCUCUGCGAUGAAUUCUUCUUGGGGACCAUGGACCUCGGGCGCCUAAACUAUGGGGUUGUCACCCUUAUCCCCAAAGUCUCGGGCGCGGCUGACAUCCGCUAGUUCCAGCCUAUCACUGUGAUCAAUGUGAUAUUCCGGAUCCUGGCCAAGGGUACGCCAAUAGGGUGA
This 633-nucleotide ribosomal RNA is filed under the name Triticum aestivum (bread wheat). RNAcentral describes it as "partial small subunit ribosomal RNA". Lineage: Eukaryota; Viridiplantae; Streptophyta; Magnoliopsida; Poales; Poaceae. The record is from RNAcentral.